CAACCAGGUCGGACAGCCGCGGGCCCAUGCCGAAAGGCAGGGCGUGAGGAAAGUCCGGGCUUCGCAGGGCAGGGAUAACGGGUAACGCCCGCCGAGGGUGACCUCAGGACAAGUGCAACAGAGAGAUGUAGCCGCCCGCAAGGGCGGUCAUAGUGAAAAGGUGCGGUAAGAGCGCACCCGCCUCAUGGAGACAUUGGGGUGCUGUAAACUCUAUCCCGAAGCAACGCCGUGGAGAAGCAUAUAAGAUCUGCCCGAUCGCUUCGAGGAGGCGGCUGGAUCCCGUGAGCAAUUGCGGGACUAGAUAGAUGGCUGUCAAGACAGAACCCGGCUUAUAGACCUGUGUCGCUCA
RNAcentral lists this RNase P RNA (349 nucleotides) under Oscillospiraceae bacterium. RNAcentral's name for it is "RNase P RNA component class A". It matches the Rfam family "Bacterial RNase P class A". Rfam says of the family: Ribonuclease P (RNase P) is a ubiquitous endoribonuclease, found in archaea, bacteria and eukarya as well as chloroplasts and mitochondria. Its best characterised activity is the generation of mature 5'-ends of tRNAs by cleaving the 5'-leader elements of precursor-tRNAs. Cellular RNase Ps are ribonucleoproteins. The record is from RNAcentral. Lineage: Bacteria; Bacillati; Bacillota; Clostridia; Eubacteriales; Oscillospiraceae.